RNAcentral lists this small RNA (2038 nucleotides) under Histoplasma capsulatum var. duboisii H88. Its description in RNAcentral is "Histoplasma capsulatum H88 hypothetical RNA". Lineage: Eukaryota; Fungi; Ascomycota; Eurotiomycetes; Onygenales; Ajellomycetaceae. The record is from RNAcentral.
AUGGCCGCUCAAAGACGAAAGAGACAGACCGAGACAAGACCGAGAGCAACCAGAAAGCACCGGGGAGUGGAAAAUCUCAGACCAUCGGCAACUUCUGUAGCUCUUCUUGUAUCCUAUAUCUGAAUAUAUCUGAAUACUUCCCAGGAACACUCUAUUAAGAUACCAUAGAGAAAGAAAAGAGAGAGAGAGAGGGAAGGAUUCCGUACAUCAUAAACAUCCCCCACAGCAGAAACAGAGAAGCAACUGCAAAAGCAUCUCCCAAGGAACCCCGCUUCUAGACAAACGCCCGCGGCUAUCUUUGAUGGCCUUGAACACCGUGGACAUACCGUAUCACCCACUUACCACCUCUUUCUCCGCCCCCUCAAUAUCGCUCCACCGCCCGCCGUUACCGUUUCGAUUCCUGCUCUUGCCUGCCAAAUAAAUCCCUCCCAGAGCAUAUCCACCUCAACUUGCUCCCGCUGGCAGUGACCAUAAGAGAUCUAUAUCUUAUAUAUAUAUAUAUAUAUAUAUAUAUAGAGAGAGAGAGAGAGAGAGAGACGGAAUCUUACCUCUUUUAUUAUCCUUCUCAAUCUAGAACACGGGUCUGUAUAUAUACCCCAGAAACGACUUCGAUAUCAAAAUCAAAAUCAACAACAACAAAGAUAACAUCCAUCAGCAAAACAGUCGAAGUAUAUAUCAACAACGAAUGCCUCAUACAAUGGCCGUGGCAACCACGUCCUCCUCGACCCGUUGGCGCGCAAUCGUCAACCGCGACGCCACAGCCAAUGAUUUUGUCUAUGGCGUGCGCACCACCAAAAUCUACUGUCGACCCCGCUGUCCAGCCCGUCUCGCCCGCCGCGCAAAUGUCGAGUUCUACGACACCCCUAAACAGGCUGAGAAGGCGGGCUACCGCCCCUGCAAGCGCUGUAAGCCGGAAGACCUCCGCGCCCCGCCAGAUCCGCAUAUCAAACUCGCCCAGCGCGCCUGCCAGACCAUGACCCUGGCGGCGCUGCGGGCUGCCAGCGGUACUAAGAGUGGCGAGGCGAGAGCCCGGCCGACGCUGCAGGAUCUGGCGAAUGAGGCUGGGUUGACCCCAUCGCAUUUUCAUCGCGUUUUUAAGAAGGUCGUGGGCAUUACGCCUGGGAGGUUUGGUAGGGACGUUAUGGAAGGGAAGAAGAUGAGUGCGUAUUUGAAGAGGUUGGAAGCGGGAAUUAGCGCCAACGGUGGGGGGUAUGCGGGAUACGGAGGUGGCGCGGGAGCUUGUGGCUCGGGCGCGGGAACGGGAGCGGAAAAGGCCGAUGCAAACGGAAACGGUAAGUCAUCGGUUGACUUUCCGAGUAAGGUUGGCGGGGAUGCUGGUGCCGCUGUGACGGGAUUGGGUUUGGAUGGGGUAGACGACGUACUCUCCGCCAUUGCUACUCCGGAUCCGCAGAACUACACUGUUCUGCCUGAUGCCGUGCCUAUACGCAUUGAUUGGAAUGAAUUCGAUAGGAUGUUGGGUAGUACUGGUGGCGGCGAUGCGGGACGUAAUAGCAACAACGACCACAGUAACGGUCGUCGACAUCCACAUCAUCUUCCACAUAACCACAACAGUGAUUUUCCCACAGGGAAGCAGCAACAAUUGCAGACGCAGUCAGAGACACAGAGACAAUCCCCCAUCACAACAGCAGCACCGCUCCACCCACACAUCCUCGACCCAAAUUCCAUAAACUCAGCAGAACUCCUUCUCGACCACUACGAAUUCCCCUGGGAAACCCCCGAUUGCACCUUCAACUUCUCCUCCCCGCCCCUUCGCCAUACCACUACUGCAAGCGGUGAUGCAGACAGCAACGGCUCUCUCCCCCCCUACAUCUAUGACCCGCUCAUAGACACAAACUCGGAGUUCUACAGUAAAUUCAUCCACCACAACAGCACCACAAACAGAAACUGCAACAUAAACUACAACAACUGCAGUAACACGGACAACGGCCUCAAACAACAGCAGCAGCAGCACCCACUCCACCUACUAGACCUUUCCGAGGACUCUUCCUCACUAACAACAAUAGACACACCACCAUUC